This 320-nucleotide ribosomal RNA is filed under the name uncultured eukaryote. RNAcentral describes it as "partial 18S ribosomal RNA". It matches the Rfam family "Eukaryotic small subunit ribosomal RNA", at positions 1470 to 1796 of the family's 1831-position model. The record is from RNAcentral.
CCCCUAGAUGUUCUGGGCCGCACGCGCGCUACACUGAACAGUUCAACAAGUCUUAACCUUGGCCGAUAGGUCUGGGUAAUCUUUGAACGCUGUUCGUGAUUGGGAUAGACCUUUGCAAUUAUGGGUCUUCAACGAGGAAUUCCUAGUAAACGCAAGUCAUCAGCUUGCAUUGAUUACGUCCCUGCCCUUUGUACACACCGCCCGUCGCACCUACCGAUUGAAUGGUCCGGUGAAAUCUCGGGACGGCGGCUCGGUCGCUUGCGUCCGACUGCUGAAACUUGAUUAAACCAUAUCAUUCAGAGGAAGGUGAAGUCGUAACA